CUCUCUCUCCGUGCUGACCUGACGACCCGUGGGCUCUCCCACCUGCAGCAUCUCUUCUUCAUCUCCGGCUCCUCUCCCCCGAUCUCUCGCCCGCGACCUGCUCCGAUACCCUGCGAAGUACGGACUCCGGCGAGCUUACGGGGCUCGCGCGGCGAGCUCGCGGCCGCGAUGGACGAGGCGGGCACCUCGUCGUCCGCAGGCUCCGCCCCGCGCGGAGGGCGCCCGGCGAGAUCGGGAGUAUUCUAUAAGUUCACCCAGCAGGAUCUUCCAGCUUGGAAACCGGCAAUGACACCAGGAUACGUGAUAGCCAUUUUCUUGAUAAUUGGGAUUAUUUUUGUACCGCUUGGACUAAUUUGUCUUCAAGCUUCAAACAGAGUUGCAGAAAUCGUUCACCGUUAUGAUAUUGAUUGUGUACCUAAUGCUUACAGAAGCAAUAAGCAGGCCUAUAUCAAAGACAGCUCGAUUUCGAAGGAAUGCAUUCAGAAAGUGAAGGUACAAUACCACAUGAAAGCUCCAAUUUAUGUGUAUUAUGAACUCGACAACUUCUACCAGAAUCAUCGUAGGUAUAUCAAAAGUAGAAGCGACAAGCAACUACGCUAUGGGCUGAAAUACACUGAUAGCUCAUGCAGUCCAAUAGAAAAGAGCGACGGCCUUCCAAUUGUUCCCUGUGGAUUGAUUGCCUGGAGCUUGUUCAAUGAUACUUAUGAUUUUACCCGUGGAUCCAUGGGAAUAGUGGUUGAUCGGAAAAAUAUUUCAUGGAGAAGUGAUCGGGAGCAUAAGUAUGGCAAGGAUGUCUAUCCUUUCAACUUUCAGAAUGGAUCUUUGAUUGGAGGAGGAAAACUUGACCCUGAUAUACCACUAAGCAAUCAGGAAGAUCUUAUCGUGUGGAUGCGCGCAGCUGCUCUUCCCCAGUUUCGAAAGCUGUAUGGUGUCAUCGAAGAGGAUAUACAAGCUGAUGAAAUCAUUACCAUGCACAUAACAAACAAUUACAAUACCUACAGCUUUGGUGGAAAGAAAAGCCUGGUUCUUACAACAUCAACCUGGCUAGGUGGCAAGAAUGACUUUCUUGGAUAUGCAUAUCUUAUCACUGGUUCCUUGAGCAUUUUCUUGUCGAUUCUCUUUGCUCUGAUCCAUGUGAAAAUCCCAAGGUAAUCGAUAAGGCCACAUGGUGAUGCUGCUUACCUAUCUUGGAGCAGGAAAAACGGCAAUAACUAAGCUUCUGUGCAUAGUUUUUUCUUUGUGUAAGCUAGCAGUACAGCACCCUGGCCAGAGGUUUCCCCGCGGCGUUCCGUCUGCGCACCCUGUCUCGAGGGAAAUGGCAUAGUAGCAGCUUCAGGUUUCAUACACUCGACACUUGGACGGAGCAUGAAAUGCGUAGCAGCUUCAGAUUUCAUACACAUACUUGGAGCAUGAAACGCUUGAUGACUGCUGAGGAUAUACGGUAAGGCCAUGGUUCACCGACAUGUUCGUGCAAUUCAGGCCAGCGCUCUGACGGCGCCCUCGAGGAAAACUAGAGCCGUGUAAAAACUGAUAUAUGUGUAUGUAAAGCGCCAUACCAUGGAUUCCAUGAUGUUGUAUGAAUGAAUACAUAUAAUGUUUCAGUUU
Triticum aestivum (bread wheat) is the source of this 1605-nucleotide RNA transcript. It is a transcript of the gene named putative ALA-interacting subunit 2, with no coding region annotated. The record is from RefSeq and is a predicted model, not a curated record. The transcript has 9 exons. NCBI's taxonomy places the organism in Eukaryota, Viridiplantae, Streptophyta, Magnoliopsida, Poales, Poaceae.